RNAcentral lists this ribosomal RNA (264 nucleotides) under uncultured archaeon. Its description in RNAcentral is "partial 16S ribosomal RNA". It matches the Rfam family "Archaeal small subunit ribosomal RNA", at positions 717 to 982 of the family's 1478-position model. The record is from RNAcentral.
AGACGUCUACAUUAGAUACCCCGGUAGUCCCAGCCGUAAACUAUGCGCGUUAGGUGUAUCGGUGACCACGUGUUACUGAUGCGCCGAAGAGAAAUCGUGAAACGCACCACCUGGGAAGUACGGUCGCAAGGCUGAAACUUAAAGGAAUUGGCGGGGAGCACCACAACAGGUGGAGCCUGCGGUUUAAUUGGAUUCAACGCCGGACAUCUCACCGGAUAAGACAGCGGAAUGAUUGCCGGGCUGAAGACUCUGCAUGACUAGCUG